Molecule: ribosomal RNA, 694 nt
Filed under: uncultured bacterium
Lineage: Bacteria
Description: bacterial SSU rRNA
Rfam family: Bacterial small subunit ribosomal RNA
Source: RNAcentral
AACGCUAGCUACAGGCUUAACACAUGCAAGUCGAGGGGCAGCAUGGUCUUAGCUUGCUAAGGCCGAUGGCGACCGGCGCACGGGUGAGUAACACGUAUCCAACCUGCCGUCUACUCUUGGACAGCCUUCUGAAAGGAAGAUUAAUACAAGAUGGCAUCAUGAGUCCGCAUGUUCACAUGAUUAAAGGUAUUCCGGUAGACGAUGGGGAUGCGUUCCAUUAGAUAGUAGGCGGGGUAACGGCCCACCUAGUCUUCGAUGGAUAGGGGUUCUGAGAGGAAGGUCCCCCACAUUGGAACUGAGACACGGUCCAAACUCCUACGGGAGGCAGCAGUGAGGAAUAUUGGUCAAUGGACGAGAGUCUGAACCAGCCAAGUAGCGUGCAGGAAGACGGCCCUAUGGGUUGUAAACUGCUUUUAUAAGGGAAUAAAGUGAGUCUCGUGAGACUUUUUGCAUGUACCUUAUGAAUAAGGACCGGCUAAUUCCGUGCCAGCAGCCGCGGUAAUACGGAAGGUCCGGGCGUUAUCCGGAUUUAUUGGGUUUAAAGGGAGCGUAGGCCGGAGAUUAAGCGUGUUGUGAAAUGUAGAUGCUCAACAUCUGAACUGCAGCGCGAACUGGUUUCCUUGAGUACGCACAAAGUGGGCGGAAUUCGUGGUGUAGCGGUGAAAUGCUUAGAUAUCACGAAGAACUCCGAUUG